This is a long non-coding RNA of Scylla paramamosain (green mud crab), 911 nucleotides long. RefSeq lists it as uncharacterized. NCBI's taxonomy places the organism in Eukaryota, Metazoa, Arthropoda, Malacostraca, Decapoda, Portunidae. The transcript has 2 exons. The record is from RefSeq and is a predicted model, not a curated record.
AGUUACCACGGCGAGCGGCUGGCUGGCUGCAGUGUUUUGGUCAGCACUGGUCAAUCUUGCCCUACACGCUCUAUUAACCAGUGUUUCCGUCAGUCGUGAAGAGAGAGAGAGAGAGAGAGAGAGAGAGAGAGAGAGAGAGAGAGAGAGAGAGAGAGAGAGAGAGAGAGAGAGAGAGUAGGAGCAUUUCAGUUGAGCCUAUUCUGCCCUGGUUCGUGUUUGCUGCGGUGACACGGUGCCGCACUGAGUGAAGAUUGCGUUCAUAAUCACUUAUCGGGGGUGGAGUGGGGAAAGGAGAGUCAGAAAGUGAGGAUAUUUAUAUUAUUUGACAUAUUAUUUGAUAGCAUGUCAACUUUUUUUUUUUUUGUGUGUGUGUGUGUGUGUGUGGGUGGGUGUUGGAUCAGUGACAGGUGGCGCUGGGGGGUUACCACGGCGAGCGGCUGGCUGGCUGCAGUGUUUUGGUCAGCACUGGUCAAUCUUGCCCUACACGCUCUAUUAACCAGUGUUUCCGUCUUCCCGACACCUUCCUGCACCAAGCACCGUCAAGCAUCACCAGAGAGGCACGAGUACGUAAGCUAUCCAACAUCAGAACAGUAUAUGAAUAUGGCAAAUGCUGUUUUGACAUCAUUUCCUGCCAUCCUGAGAAACAGUGAUCUCGAGGAGCAUGAAUUGCAGCUGCAAUGGAAAUUGCGCAUCCAGCACAAGUUUCAGAAUUCAAGAAAGAGGCAGGAUUCCUCAGUGACUGAGGUGAUGUCAAGGAAAAAGAAGAUCCCUUGCAUAGCGCCAAAAGAGACUACGUGUCCACUGAUGUAUGGAGUAAAGGCUUACCUUCCACCAAGGCCCCAUUCAGAAGAUGAUAAGUCAUUAGAGAGACAUAGACAGUGGCCUGCUCUACAUUGGAUGAAGAAAGAUCC